This 497-nucleotide ribosomal RNA is filed under the name uncultured bacterium. RNAcentral describes it as "partial 16S ribosomal RNA". It matches the Rfam family "Bacterial small subunit ribosomal RNA", at positions 28 to 507 of the family's 1533-position model. The record is from RNAcentral.
GAUGAACGCUGGCGGCGUGCCUAAUACAUGCAAGUCGAGCGAACAGACGAGGAGCUUGCUCCUCUGACGUUAGCGGCGGACGGGUGAGUAACACGUGGAUAACCUACCUAUAAGACUGGGAUAACUUCGGGAAACCGGAGCCAAUACCGGAUAAUAUAUUGAACCGCAUGGUUCAAUAGUGAAAGACGGUUUUGCUGUCACUUAUAGAUGGAUCCGCGCCGCAUUAGCUAGUUGGUAAGGUAACGGCUUACCAAGGCAACGAUGCGUAGCCGACCUGAGAGGGGGAACCGCCCAAAUGGAACUGAGACACGGGCCAAAACCCUAACGGGGGGAACAGGGGGGGAAAUUGCCGAAUGGGGGGAAACCUGACCGAGCAAAGCCGCGGGGGUGAAUAAAGUCUUCCGGAUUGAAAACCCUUUUUUUUGGGAAAAAAAAAAUUUGUAAAAAACCAUGCGGUUCUGACGGGACCCAAACAAAAAGCCCCGGCUAACUUACGG